GCCACAACUUAUCUGCAACUGCAAAUGUCAUCUGCUGCUACAGUUGUCUGGCACAUUCUGCUGCGCCAGCAUCCUGAAGAUGCCCAAUAAUGGCAGAAAAUGAUCUCUGUCUGUUGAUGAACUAAUUGCACUCAUAUGCUGGAAUAAUACCAUUAAAAUGUAAUACAGCUGCAUGUUGCAGGACAGCGGAAGAACCAGUGGUACGAUUAAUCCACUUUAGACGCAGAGGAAUCUGUAGAGUCCAUAAAGGGAGAGCUGAUAAGCAUUCAUCCGGGGUUGCUGCGGAAAAAAAGACCCAUCCAGCUGCUAGGAUGGAUUGAUGCAGCGCUGUCAUCCCCGGCUUUGAUGAAAGAUCUUUAAUUUUCCUGGCCGUUAAUGGGAAUUCUCAGUGUCCCUGCAGCCUAUUUUUUUUUAAUUCUCCUUUUGAGUCAAUUAUCAAACUUCUUCAGAGCCAUGAUAAUAACAUGUUUUCACAAUAGUCUUUUAUUUUGUGGGCUUUCUAAUUAAAAUCCUACAAAUUUAUCUUCCAGCCUAUAGCUCUGGAAAUGAUGGUGUUUUAUUUGUG
Molecule: long non-coding RNA, 565 nt
Organism: Oryzias melastigma (Indian medaka)
Lineage: Eukaryota; Metazoa; Chordata; Actinopteri; Beloniformes; Adrianichthyidae
Exons: 2
Source: RefSeq, a predicted model, not a curated record